RNAcentral lists this transfer RNA (84 nucleotides) under Schistocephalus solidus. It matches the Rfam family "tRNA". Rfam says of the family: Transfer RNA (tRNA) molecules are approximately 80 nucleotides in length. The record is from Rfam by way of RNAcentral. Lineage: Eukaryota; Metazoa; Platyhelminthes; Cestoda; Diphyllobothriidea; Diphyllobothriidae.
AAUCUCGUAGCUUAUUUGGCUAGAGCACUGUUUAUACUUAAAACUUUCAAGUUUCUGGUGUGGGUUUGAAUCCCACCGAGUCUA